Molecule: ribosomal RNA, 163 nt
Filed under: uncultured bacterium
Lineage: Bacteria
Description: partial 16S ribosomal RNA
Rfam family: Bacterial small subunit ribosomal RNA
Source: RNAcentral
UAGGGAAAUUUUCGGCAAUGGGGGGAACCCUGACCGAGCAACGCCGCGUGAAGGAAGAAGGAAUUCGUUCUGUAAACUUCUGUUAUAAAGGAAGAAAGACGGAUGGAGGAAAUGACAUCCGAGUGACGGUACUUUAUGAGAAAGCCACGGCUAACUACGUGCC